RNAcentral lists this ribosomal RNA (124 nucleotides) under Metschnikowia australis. RNAcentral describes it as "partial 26S rRNA". The record is from RNAcentral. Lineage: Eukaryota; Fungi; Ascomycota; Pichiomycetes; Serinales; Metschnikowiaceae.
GGCCAGCAUCGGGGCGAGAGGAAGUAAAAACGAUUUGGAAAUGUAACUUUCGAGUAUUAUAGACCUUAUCCCUCCCUUCAAUCUGAUCCCAAGGCUUCGGUUUAUCCUAGGAUGCUGGUGUAAU